AGGACACUGAGAAGGGCAUCCUGGCCUGGGCAGGGGGCACAGUCCAGCUGCCUGCCCGUGCCCUCUUGGAGGACACACUGUCCCUCAUGGCAACUCCUGUCAGGACACAGAAACUCAAGUUCACAGAUGCAAAGACCAGGGCUAGGGGUGGCUGCUGGGGCCUGGUCUGUCCAUGUCCAGCAGGGCCACUGCACUGCAUGCUGCGAGGGGACUUCCUGUGGCUGAAGCACACGUCUGUGUGUCUGCAAUGGAAGAGGUCUUCGCUCCAGCCCCGCCUGAUCCCCCCACCGGAACCCCCAAUGCACCUGCGGCUCCCUCUCUCCUGGACACGUGGGCUUUCCUACGAGGGCUUCUAUUCAUUUAAAAUUUAGGAAGUGGUGCAGGGAGGGGGGGUUGGCUUUUCAAGCCUGCAACGUCCUGAGAGCCUUUCACUGCAGCCCAGUGACCAGGAGCAAUGGCAGCAGGGCCACCAAGGCCUCAGGUAGAGCCCAUGGAUGCUGCCUGAAGCUCUGCUCUGGUGCCAGCUCACGCGCCCUCCCCUCCUGCCUUUCUGGGGGUGGGAGGCAUUUUAGGCUGGCUUUCUACCCCUGUCCUUCUGUGACCUUGGUGGGGAGGUGGCUUCUGAAUGACAUGCUCCCUGGGAGGACAUGCCACCUUCAGUCUGAGAUAGGGGCUUCGGUUGUCCUGCGAGAGAAGAAGAAUGCAGAGGGUUCAUCUGACUCAGUGUCUUUGAAACUCGGAGCCCAGCAGCAACAUCCACUCUGAAUAAUGCAGGGCUUCUAAUUAAUGCUGUUAAUCUCAUAAAUCCAUGUGGCACCUUCCCAAGGAGACUGCUCAGUGUCCUACCUGGGGCUCAGAUGGCCUCAGUCUGCAUUCUGGCUCUGCUGUGCCCUGGUUGCGUGACCAGCUAGCCACUUGAACUGUCAGAUUCCAGCAUCCCUGGCUGGCAAUGCCUGGUACUGAUGAGGUAAAGGUCACCGGGAAACUCUGGCUCCUCCCAGGUGUCCAGGGAGCCCUAGUCUGGCCUGCCGUCUUACAGCUCCUGCCUGGGUGGCUCGGAGCCCAUAGAGCAAGGGUGUGUGGUGGCCUCAGCCUGGCCUCUCCUGCACUCCUCUGUUCCCAGUUAGGAGAGACCACAGGCAGUGAGGAAGGAGCUGGGUCCCCAGUGUUCCCUUCCAGCCCCUCAUCCCAAUAAGCAGGUGGGGUGGAGAGGGGACAAGGUUCCCACGGCCUGUCCCGCUCCAUCACUGUCUGGGUCUGAGCCACGUGUCCAGUGGCCCCAUUCUUCCCUCUCCUUGCUGAGCCGGUCUGUCUGGGAGACUCGGGUGGUGUGCCUGGGGCCUUCAAGCCCUCUUCUCCAACGUGCAGUGUCCUCCCUCAUACUCAGAGCUCAGAAGCCGGUCCAGCUGGUGUCUGCCACCAGGCCAGAGCAGCCCAGGUCAGGCACCUACUGAAUCCCCCCUGAACCCCUCAGCUUACAAUGUCCCCACCCCCUGGCCCUGGGUGGCUGCCAACCACUGCCUACUGCCCUCCUACACAGCCAACCCUCCCCUGCACCCUCCCUCUGUGCCUUCUAAACACCCUCCUCUCUGCCCAGGGGCAGCACCUAUAAAAUGGGGGAGGAGUCCAGCCUCUCAGGCCUGGGAGGGGCCAGGAUUCCUGCCACUGUGGUGGGAAUCAGGGGACUCUCAGGACACCUGGUCUCCCAGGGAGCACGGGGCUGGAGAUGGUGGUGUCCGAAGAAUUCAGGGACCAAGUCUGGUCUAUUUGGCAGUGAAGUCAGAAGUGGCUCCCAGGACAGUAGCAAGGAGAAGGGGUCACUCCGGGGUGGCGAGGGGCAGUUAAGGGUGACAGGAGGUUUCCCUCUUACCCAAGAAGGGUCCCCGGCUCCCUUCCCAGGACUGCAGAUGGCAGGUUCUCCAGGCAGAUGGACUUAGGGGAGGGCCAUUUUGAAACCUUGUGAAGAGAGGGGACGACCCGUGGGGGGAGCCACCCUGCACGCUCCUGGCAGUUGCAGAAGAGGGGACGUAGGAGGGCCAGAGAGGCACCUACGUGGUCACUCAUUUUCUGUGACUCUGAGCUGCCAUGUCACUUUUCUUUUCCUCAGUCCUCGUGCAGGGGGACUCAUGUCCUGGCCAACUAGGAAGACGAAAGACCUGCCUUCUCCAGGGCUUGAUGGCCACACAGCUCGCUACCUGUCCCCCUCUGUCCCUGGACAAGCUAGCUCGGCCCCUGGCUCUGAGGUUCUCUGUCCAGCGGAGGGUGGUGUGGACAGGAGGUCCCAGGGCUUCCUCCAGUCCUGACAUCCCAGGACCCUCCCACUGGCCUUUCUGCCGUCCAUGCUCAGGGGAGCGCUGGACCUCCCCAACAUGAACUACAGGAGGCUGGGCCCACCUCAGCCUCCUCCUCAGCAAAAUGGACUGUGGUCUGUUGCCACCAUGUGCAGGUGGUUCUGUGUUCUCUGUGACAGGCCACCCCUCCCACCACAGCUGUCCCCUCUCCUCCUGACCACUGGAGCAGGGUUCCUGGGAAGGAGGGGAGCCUGGAUGCAGCUGCCCUGACCAACCCCUUCACUGUCACCUCUGUCCUGAAGGGGCCCGGGCUCUCCCCCUCUGUACUAUUGUACCCCUGUGACUCCUGUGACCCUAGGAAUAGAACCCAGUGCAGUGGCCUGGCCUCUCUGAAGCACUGACCAUGAGGCUGGAAAGGAACCCAGGUGCUGGGCCCCAGCGGUGGCUUUGGGCCCUCAGGGCCUGUGUCGAGGUGGAGGCUCCAGCCGCCAGGAGUCCCUACCUGAGUGGACUCCCACGUGUCGGCUUUCCUGUGUCCCUGGGUGUGCUGGCUCUUGUCUCCCCAUAGAUGCUGGUGAGGGGUACGAUCUCCCUGUGGCUCUUCCUGCUGCAGCUGGAGCAACCAUCAGCCAACAGGUCCUCACUGGACAGAGCCCAGCGUCAGCGUCUGGACUAGGGACACUGCCACUCCUGCUGCCGCAAGCCCAGGGCCUGUCAGUCCUUAGAAGCAGUCACAGCCAGGGGACUGUUGGCCUAGCCGCUGCUGGCCAGAGGCAGGAGCACCCUGCAGGUCGAGAUGGUGCUCGGUGACUUAGUAAUUCUUGUGUUUUGCUUUUUAAAUUGAAGUUUGAAGGAGUGAGAGUUUGAUGUUUUUCUGUGAUUAUUUUUUAUUUAAUUCUUUCUCUGGAUCAUAAAGUGAAAGUAUUUAAAUUCAUAUUUUAGGAGACAAAAGAAGCUUAACAUCUUUCAUCCACUUUCAGCAUUUUUGCUAAUUUUUUUUAAAAACAAAAUAUUUUGUUCUGGCAUCCUGAAGGGUGCAAUUUCAUGAGUCAGGAGAAUAAAUAACAGAUAAAAAUAAACCUAGUUCUCAGCAAAGGUGAGGUGAGUUCCCCAUGAUGGAGGCGUCAGGCACAGAUGCGACCCACAGCCUCAGCACAGCCCCACAGAGCUGGAGGGGCUGUCCCAGACCCUCAGGGACACCCCGGCACCUGCCACCUGAAGGGGACCUGCAGCCCUGUGCCAUCCCACCUUAUGGCCUCAGGUGCUCAGCUUGUGUGUGAGGGUCUUCCUUUGGGAGUUCAGGCACCCAGGGCCCCAGAGCCCCAGUCAUGGAGAUGACAUGGCGAAGCCAGUGAUCUUGAUGAUGACAACUUCUUGAUUGUCACCAUGGAUGUGUCAGGCGGGUGAUCAGCACUUUGCAUGCAUUACCUGAUCCCAUCCUCCUCCCGCAGCUUUAUGGAGUUAUGAUUGACAAAAAUUAUAUACACUUAGGCUGCACACGGGGUGUUGGGGUACAUGUAUACAUCGCGGAGUGAACUGCACCAUCAAGCUAAUUAGCAUAUCCAUCACCCCACUCUAGGUCUUUUCCCUUGUUUAUGAGAACACCCAACGACCUACUCCCUUGGCAACUUUGGGGUGCAGGAUGCAGGUGAACUGCAGUCCCCACCCAUGCGUUGGAGCCCAGAACUUACUCAUGCGCUUAACAGAAGCUUCACGCCCUCUGAUCCACGUCUCCCGUGCUUUCGAGGUUAGCUUGCCUCUCUGAUAGAGAAAAGUGACACCUCUGCUGUGGUGUCACUGGGACAGCCGAGGAGGUGCUCACAAACCUUCCUCAGGAGCGAAGGUGCAGUCAGCGGCAGCAGUCACCCUGGGAGCACCGGGUCACACCCUCUGCAGGUGUCCUGGAAAGACCCCUUGAGCCUGAUUGUCAGGAGACAGCCCAGGAGGUGGCUCUGGGGGCCACCUGAAAGGGACAGAGGGAGGUCACAGUAACUCUAGUCCCCCAGGAGCCCCAGAAGCACAUGUUGUCCUUCCCACAUCCAAGUCCAAGGCAUCUGUAUUCAAAAUUAGGACAAGCUCACAACCUUCCGGACUUCCACAGGCAGGACUCUGAUUUAAGGCUGAGCAGUGAUCAGGAGAGGGCACUUCUAGGGUCCAGAUUAGUGGAGCAAUUGCUGACAGUGGCCAGCAACUCUCCAGGCUGCACCCCUGCCCAGUGCCAUCCUCAGGCGUGUGGCAGGAAGGGGGAUUUCCACACUCAUGUCACAUUUCUGAGGUCGUCACAGGGUUGGGUGCCUUGGACCAACUGUAACCCUAACCCUAAUCCUCCCAGCACAAAAGUGCUGCAAUGCGGGUCAGACCUGGGGCUCCUUGGGCCUCUGCCCAGGGCGGGUGGUGCCCUGGGACAGGGUUCGGUCCUGAUAGCUCCUCACCCGCUUCCUGCAGAGAACACACGGCCCAGUCCCACCUCCCUGGGUCCUGCCUCCCUGGGUGACCUGCUCAGCUCAGCCUUGCCCACAGGGCAGAGGCCAGGCCUAACAGAUGCCCGGCACUUGGCUGCACCUCCCCUACAGGGCUGCCACCCUGCUGCUGCCCCUGGUGGCCCUGGCUGGCUGGGAGGGGGUGUGUGCCUCUCUCUGGCUGCUUGCUGGGGUGUUUGUCCUCCCCUGAGUAUUGAUUGGGAUUCUAAAGAGCCUGAUGUUGGGGCUGGUCAGGGCCCCCUGGCCCACAGUGGGGUGAUCACAGUAAUGGGCAGGAACCCCUACUGGCACAGGGUGUUAGGCUGACGUGGUCACCACAGACACGUCCAAGGGAGACUUUCUGAACAGGUGCCAGUCUGUCUUUGGGCACUUUAAUUACAGCUCCAAGUUUGGCAGGGGAGUUGUUACUACUGACUUAGUCCCGCUCUGGUAGCUCUGGAUGGGCUGAGGCUGCCCUGGACAGGAGGUGGAUUUUGUGGGGUCAUUUGAGCUGGGUCCUGGGUCUGUGACUGGGUGACACCAUCUCAUUCUGCUGCCUGGCUGGGACCCAGUUUUCUAAUGACAAAGAGGGAGACCUCAUCUUGUUUAUCCACUUAGUGAUUCCAAAACCUCUGGGGACUUGUAUGUGUCUAAAAGUGGGGACCCCGGGCCUCCAGGGCUUCAGGAUUCCAGGGGAACUCGGGGCAAGAAGGAGGCUGCGGAUGGAGGGCACCCA
RNAcentral lists this long non-coding RNA (5486 nucleotides) under Marmota monax (woodchuck). Lineage: Eukaryota; Metazoa; Chordata; Mammalia; Rodentia; Sciuridae. The record is from RNAcentral.